RNAcentral lists this non-coding RNA (27 nucleotides) under Mus musculus (house mouse). The record is from RNAcentral. Lineage: Eukaryota; Metazoa; Chordata; Mammalia; Rodentia; Muridae.
UGGGCUGCUGAUUUAGAAGCAGGCACU